ACUCCUACGGGAGGCAGCAGUGGGGAAUAUUGCGCAAUGGGCGAAAGCCUGACGCAGCGACGCCGCGUGAGGGACGAAGGCCUUCGGGUUGUAAACCUCUUUCAGCAGGGAAGAAGCGAAAGUGACGGUACCUGCAGAAGAAGCACCGGCUAACUACGUGCCAGCAGCCGCGGUAAU
RNAcentral lists this ribosomal RNA (177 nucleotides) under uncultured bacterium. Its description in RNAcentral is "partial 16S ribosomal RNA". It matches the Rfam family "Bacterial small subunit ribosomal RNA", at positions 335 to 524 of the family's 1533-position model. RNAcentral also lists the same sequence under 1 other name. The record is from RNAcentral.